CUCACUGGUCAAUGAAUGCAAA
Molecule: microRNA, 22 nt
Filed under: Rattus norvegicus (Norway rat)
Lineage: Eukaryota; Metazoa; Chordata; Mammalia; Rodentia; Muridae
Description: rno-miR-181b-2-3p
Gene: rno-miR-181b-2-3p
Source: miRBase by way of RNAcentral